GGGUCUGUAGCUCAGUCUGGUCAGAGCGAGUGGCUCUUAACCACUAGGCCGCGGGUUCGAAUCCCGUCAGACCCA
RNAcentral lists this transfer RNA (75 nucleotides) under Candidatus Woesearchaeota archaeon. RNAcentral's name for it is "tRNA-Lys". It matches the Rfam family "tRNA". Rfam says of the family: Transfer RNA (tRNA) molecules are approximately 80 nucleotides in length. Their secondary structure includes four short double-helical elements and three loops (D, anti-codon, and T loops). The record is from RNAcentral. Lineage: Archaea; Nanobdellati; Candidatus Woesearchaeota.